AUAAAGGUGGCAGAAAUAUGCAUUAGGUUUAAGCCCUAAUUAUAAAGAUUCAUCUUUCCUUUAUU
This 65-nucleotide transfer RNA is filed under the name Bithynia leachii. RNAcentral describes it as "tRNA-Leu". Lineage: Eukaryota; Metazoa; Mollusca; Gastropoda; Littorinimorpha; Bithyniidae. The record is from RNAcentral.